AACUUAAAGGAAUUGGACGGGGCCCGCACAAGCGGUGGAGCAUGUGGUUUAAUUCGAUGAUACGCGAGGAACCUUACCUGGGCUCAAAUGUAUGUUGACGUAUUCUGAAAGGGAUACUUCUUCGGACAAUAUACAAGGUGCUGCAUGGUUGUCGUCAGCUCGUGCCGUGAGGUGUCGGGUUAAGUCCCGCAACGAGCGCAACCCUUGCCUUUAGUUGCCAGCAGUUCGGCUGGGCACUCUAAAGGGACUGCCGGUGUUAAACCGGAGGAAGGUGGGGAUGACGUCAAGUCCUCAUGGCCUUUAUGACCAGGGCUACACACGUACUACAAUGGCCGAUACAAAGGGCAGCGACACUGCGAGGUGAAGCCAAUCCCGUAAAAUCGGUCUCAGUCCGGAUUGGAGUCCGCAACUCGACUCCAUGAAGUUGGAAUCGCUAGUAAUCGUGGAUCAGCAUGCCACGGUGAAUACGUUCCCGGGCCUU
RNAcentral lists this ribosomal RNA (481 nucleotides) under uncultured Desulfobulbus sp. RNAcentral describes it as "bacterial SSU rRNA". It matches the Rfam family "Bacterial small subunit ribosomal RNA", at positions 898 to 1382 of the family's 1533-position model. Lineage: Bacteria; Pseudomonadati; Thermodesulfobacteriota; Desulfobulbia; Desulfobulbales; Desulfobulbaceae. The record is from RNAcentral.